UCACGGGCCGGCGCAAGCAGAUGGCUGCGGUGGCCAUGGUUCGCUGCGAUGGAUUCUUUUUUCUUUUUUCUUUCGUUAGAAAACGUGGGCCAUGAGAGCAUUAGAGAAGAGAGAUUGGACUGAAAUGUAGGACCCGCAUGUCAGGUCGAUGUCAUCGUCCAGUCAACCUGCCACGUGUUCAGUUUUAACACGUGGUAUGAAG
Molecule: long non-coding RNA, 202 nt
Filed under: Setaria italica (foxtail millet)
Lineage: Eukaryota; Viridiplantae; Streptophyta; Magnoliopsida; Poales; Poaceae
Description: long non-coding RNA (SITA_LNC001563)
Source: RNAcentral